Molecule: ribosomal RNA, 556 nt
Filed under: Bacillus subtilis
Lineage: Bacteria; Bacillati; Bacillota; Bacilli; Caryophanales; Bacillaceae
Description: bacterial SSU rRNA
Rfam family: Bacterial small subunit ribosomal RNA
Source: RNAcentral
UGGGCGUAAGGGCUCGCAGGCGGUUUCUUAAGUCUGAUGUGAAAGCCCCCGGCUCUACCGGGGAGGGUCAUUGGAAACUGGGAAACUUGAGUGCACAAGAGGAGAGUGGAAUUCCACGUGUAGCGGUGAAAUGCGUAGAGAUGUGGAGGAACACCAGUGGCGAAGGCGACUCUCUGGUCUGUAACUGACGCUGAGGAGCGAAAGCGUGGGGAGCGAACAGGAUUAGAUACCCUGGUAGUCCACGCCGUAAACGAUGAGUGCUAAGUGUUAGGGGGUUUCCGCCCCUUAGUGCUGCAGCUAACGCAUUAAGCACUCCGCCUGGGGAGUACGGUCGCAAGACUGAAACUCAAAGGAAUUGACGGGGGCCCGCACAAGCGGUGGAGCAUGUGGUUUAAUUCGAAGCAACGCGAAGAACCUUACCAGGUCUUGACAUCCUCUGACGACCCUAGAGAUAGGGCUUUCCCUUCGGGGACAGAGUGACAGGUGGUGCAUGGUUGUCGUCAGCUCGUGUCGUGAGAUGUUGGGUUACGUCCCGCAACGAGCGCAACCCUUGAUC